RNAcentral lists this long non-coding RNA (1193 nucleotides) under Canis lupus dingo (dingo). Its description in RNAcentral is "lncRNA (ENSCAFG00020005158.1)". Lineage: Eukaryota; Metazoa; Chordata; Mammalia; Carnivora; Canidae. The record is from RNAcentral.
UGGCUCUAAAGUGAGUGCAAUAGGAUAAAUUCCUCCACUCGGGAGAAAGCAGAGGCAAGAAGUUGACUAAACGGUUGGUUUAUUUUCAUUAUUUUGGACAAGCAGCCUGACCCAUAACUGUCUGCCUUUCAAUUGCUGGAAUUGUGUGUGCUAAUUGUUUAUUUAUUUUUUCAAGUCAUUUUGAGAGUUUGGAAUGGCUAAGAUUAGUUUCUAGUGAACCACCCGUUUAUGUAUUUCUACCUGAGACAACUGGUUAAAAAAUAUGUACUGUACAUAGAACAUGGUAACCUGUUGAUUUACACAUUUUAAUUAACCAGAAUUUUUAAAAAGUGUAUUGCUUUAAUUCCCAAAGCUAAAAUAAAAGUUAGUUUUCUUAGUUUAUGAAUUAUAAUUGAAUCUUACUUUGAGUUUUACUAUGUACUUAGAGUUUUAUUGUGGAUCCUCUCAUUCAGAAUAAGUUAGAAUACAGUGUCUUACAUAAAAUUAGAGAAAGUUUUAUAACUAAUUAUAAGGUAGUUUAUAAGGGCUAAGGCUUUCUGAAAAGGGGAUAUCUGCAUUUCCAUUAUAAGGGCCCCAUUUUGUCUGAUUUCAUUAAAGAAGAAACGUACGAGUGCUAGUUGGAGGUGUCUUCUGUUUGAAAAUAUGAGCAAAUUGAUGCCUUAUUAUGUUAGAAUUCUAACCAUUAUAUUGACUUAUUUCACAAUUAUUUCAAUUCUGAAAUAAUAGACUUUACUUUUAGAAAUACUGAAAAUUUAAGUAUUUUCAAAGUGCACAUAAAUGCUUCUGAUUUAUACAUUUUAUUUCUCUUUUAAAAUCAGAUGUUUAAGAAUAAUGUUACUGACCAUAAGCCUAAUGUGGAAACCAUAAUUAAAAACAUUAACACAAUUUCUUUGGAGUUAAAGAAGAUGAAAGAGCUCUCCCAGUUGCUGCUUUGUGACCUUACUCUACAUUUUAAUCAUCCUGUGAAGACGGAUGACUUAAAGGAACCAGAAGGAAAAACCCGCCUCUUUGAAGAGUCUGCAAUAUCAGAUGUGUCCCUUGCCUCUAAUAAUUUUUCUAUCUGAUUUCUUUUUGUUUGUUGUGAAUUUAUAACUGUAUUUAUUGUGGAAUUAACAUGUAUCUGAGAGAAUUGAGUUUACUAAUAUAUUUAAUAUGAUAAACAAAAUAAAAAUAGGAUGAGUUGUAAAUAACCA